This 2325-nucleotide unclassified non-coding RNA is filed under the name Hevea brasiliensis (rubber tree). The record is from RNAcentral. Lineage: Eukaryota; Viridiplantae; Streptophyta; Magnoliopsida; Malpighiales; Euphorbiaceae.
AUAUGAGAAAAUCUAACAUUCAUAAUGAUCAAACGCCAUUGCCAAUGCAUAUAUGAUGUAUCCCAAUUAAAAGUAGCAUAUAUACAUAACAAAAUGUGUAAAUCACAUUCUCACUUCGAUUCUUUUAGCUCUUUUGUGUUAAUUUCCUUUAUUCCCGUAAGCUGAGCAAUAUGGCAGAAAAAGAUACAUCAGAUUUCUUUUUAGAAUGCUUCUUCACAUUAUGAAUCCUAGAUAAGAUGCAACAUGACAAUUUUGUUAGCAGUGAUUUUCACACUUGAACGAAUAUCAACAGAAUCUGAGUAUUAGAGUAGGAAGAGGUGAAAAUCAGAUACUAGCCACAGGAAAUAGAAAAAAAUAUAUAUAUUGAAUCAAGCAAAGGAGAUUUUAGGUUUUAAGAAGGUUCUUUAUUUCUCAAGUUUGAAGACCAGAAAUGUGUUGAGAAAUUCGAUGGUAAUUGUCAAGUGUAAAUGAUAACUCUUAGCAUUUUGAUUUAUGUUCUGUGCUCAUCUUUGAGUCACUGUACAACCUCCUACCAGUUAUUUUCUAUUCAUUCAUUCUACUUUGAGAACAAUCUUCAUAAACUCAUAGACGAAGUAACUUGUUGCUGCUGAGGGAAGAACCUGCAGUAAGCUGGGAAUGAGUCCUGCAUACAGAGCUGGAAUUCCACCUUGCUCAACGAUCUUGACACAGGUUGCCAGUGCACUCAUCUUAGUAGAUCGAACUUGCAGUUGAAGUUAUCUCCUCACAACUUCAAAUGGGUAAGUAGAAGCUUCUGCACAAGCGCCGGCAACUGCCCCAUACAGCAAUGUCCUGAUUGGUACCAACUCUAGCUGGUCCAAAGCAUUCAAUUCCUGCCCAUGUUGACUCAUAUUUUCUAUUCUUUUCCUGCCUUCAGGUGAAUGCAGAUAAGCAGACUUCAAUAUAUCAUAUACACCAUAGAAAACUGCCCCUGAAGGUGCCAUGCUUAUGAUGGAAGGCACUAAGCCCUUGUAAAGGGAAAAGAAACCUUCAGUUCGGAUCAUGUGGUGAAAAGCACCAAUCACCCCACCCAAAGCUUCCCCACCAGGUGCAACAAUUUUGGUCUGGAUCUGCAAGAUACAUCAAUUGAAGUGUGAUUUAGAAUUCAGUGAUGAUCUUGGGCAAAAACAAUGCAAGGAAUAAAACACAGCAAAUGUGAACCAUUUGAUUACCCAAAUGCACUUUCAAUGAUCCAAGCUUCUACUGAACUCAAUUAAGCCCCAGUUCCAAAUUUCUAAUUUAGUUAGGGAAGGCUACUUGGAUACUUUGCUACUAUAUUAUGUUUUUUAAGCUUUCUGCACGUUGGUGUGAUGCUGAACCAAAUUACUCCAAACACUUCAAAAUAAAAAGCCUAACUAAAAAUAUUGGAUUCCCUUAUUUCUUUCUUCAAAUCACAAACAAAGCAGCAAAAGUUCUUCCUACAACUAAAUAGUUGUUUUUUAUUAUCUGCUGUACCAUUUCCAAACAGAUAACUCAUAGUCGCCAAGUUGCCCAUUCACAUUCAAAUCAUAGAUAGUCAGCAGCAAACAUAAAAUUUAAAACAAGCCUAUAAAGAUAACCGGAGCAUACAACAACCCAAACUAAUUUCCAUGUUAGUAAUCUGCCAUAUACCAUUCGAGAUCUAUGCGGUCCAAUAAAACACUCAAUGUUGAGUUACAUCGUUGAUUGUCCAUAAUAUACAGCGAAGUGGUUUUAUGUUGAUUUCUUAGUAUAAUACCAUGUUUACAUUACACACAAAGUCAUAUAAAGUAUUUGUAUAUCUGCCACAACAUACAAGAAAAUGAAUUUGGGAAAUCAACAAAUGGAAACAAGCAAGUAAAACAAAAGAAACAAUGUCCAACUUCCCUAUUCACUAUGAACUGUUUCAGUUGCAAACAUGAUAACUUUGUUUAAUGUUUAUGGCAUUUUCGUACCAUAUUUUAUUGUACAUAUGUACUUCAUUGCCUCAAAAACAUAAGAAAAACACAUAAAUGAUAAAGAUAAUUAUCUCCGACAUGCUGACACAGAAAAUCCUUUAGAACUAGAUAAUUUUGACAACCAGAUGCAAAUAAAAUCAAGAACACAGGCCCCGUUCGUUCUAAAUUCUAUAAUAUCAGUAGUAAAAUCAGUGGUGGAAGUGAGUGGAGAAAAAGGGGUCCAUUGACUCCUUAUAAAUUUAAUUAUUAAUCAUCUUUUUGGUAAAAGUUAAAAAUAAAGAGGGAGAUGUUUUUAAUAGCAUUAAUAAUGAUAUAAUUCUUGAUAGUUAUCAGGGCAUUAGACAUUGUUGAGUCCAAUUGUAAGAUACUAAUAUUUUAUUUUUGACAUUUU